UGUAUCAGGUAUCUCUCUUGAGAUCACACCUUCCCUGGCCAUCAAUGGACCCACCACGGAACUAUCCUGCCUGGGGUGUUUCAGAAGGAACUGCAAAUGCUGGAAAAUCGAAGAGAUGCUGGCUGACCCGCUGAGUCACUCCAGGGUUUGGUGUCUGUCUUCGGUUUACAACCAGCAUAUGCAGUUCCUCCCGAUGCACUCAAGAAUUCAAUAUGUGUUAUUGUAUCAAAGGGUGGUACAGUACUGUGAAUAAGGUCUCCCCUUGGUCUCAGGAGUUCCAGAGAAAACAAUCCAAGUUUGUCCAAAAGGACACAGAGUGCUGGAGUAAAUCAGCCGGUCAUGCAGCGUCCAUGGAGAACAAGGAGAAGCGACAUUUCGGGUUGAGACUGAAGAAGGGCAGCUGGAGCACACAUUCUGCCCCUCCACAUCUUUCCUGGAAUGGGGCCACCUGAACUGCACACAAAUGAAGCCAUUUUAAGGUUUUAUUUCAAAUUACCUGUUUGAACAAGCAUUUCAUCGUUUGUGCAAUGUCAAAUGUUGAGUGAUAGUGUUUGUGUAAAAUGCCGUGUGAAAAUUUACUGCUUAUAAGUUGCUGCAUCUCUGCAGGCUGCUGUUGUGCAGCUUCUGACUUUGUUAUAAUCAUAUUGCUACCCUUCAACAAUUGCAACCCUAAAUCAACUGGCUACUGUUUGUGGCUAAACGUGUUUUAUCUGUUUGAAAAGUAAACAUGAAUUUGUUUUUAACCAAACCACACACUGAGAAAAUGGAAUCGUUUCCUGAGCCACAAGAGACUGCAGAUGCUGGAUUCUUGUGCAAAGAACAAAGUGGUGGAGAAAUUCAGCAGGUCAGGCAGCAUCCGUCGAAGGAAAUGGACAGGCGUCGUUACGGGUCGAGACCUUUUAGCUUAGUUUAGAGAUACAGUGUGGAUACAGGCCCUUCGGCCUAUCGAGUCCAGACCGACCAACGAUAACCCCGUACACUAACACCAUCCUACACACUAAGGACAGUUUUUACAAUUUACCAAAGCCAAUUAACCUACAAAUCUGGAUGUCUUUGGAGUGCGGGAGGAAACCGGAAUGCUCGAGAGAAAACGCAGUCACGGGGAGAACGUACAAACUCCAUACAGACAGCACCCGUAGUCAGGAUCGAACUCAGGUCUCUGGUGCUGUAAAGCAGUAACUCUGCUGCUGCUCCAGUGCCAUCAAGGGGAGGGAUGCAUUGUUCUUUGUUUUUUUUACAGAUUUGGGGACCUGGAAUGCUGUAAAAUUGCAGACUUUUACAUCUCAAUGUCUUUAUGUGAUGGGAGUGUGAAGCACAAGGAAUAAGCAACUCCCAUCAUGCAUUCAUGCAUUUCUGAUUGUCUAAUCUUACAUUGUCUUUUAUUGGCGGCUUGAAAUGCCCCAAUACAAAUAGUAAAACUUCUCAAGCGCUGCUUUAGUUUAGUUUAGGGAUACAGGCCCUUCGGCCCAUCGAGUCCACGCUGACCAGCAAUCCCCGUACAGCAGCACUUUCCUACGCACAGGGGACAUGUACCAACUUUUACCAAAGCCAAUUAACCUGCAAACCUGUAUGUCUUUGGAGUGUAUGUGGAAACCGGAGCACCCGGGGAAAACUCACAUGGUCAAGGGGAGAACGUACAAACUCCGUACAGACAGCACUUCCAGUCGUAAUCGAGCCCGGGUUUCUGGCGCUGUAAGGCAGCAACUCUACCGCUGCGGCACCGUGUCAACCUUCUUAGACAUGAGGGCAUGAGGCCUUGGCCUCCACACACUGACAUGGGAAUACUAAUGGAUGAGUGCCAAUUGUCUCAGAUGUAAUUUGAUAUUGAUGAGCUUGUGUUGUUUCUCCCUUUCUCCCUCCGAAAAACAGAUAUUUUACUCGCGGUUGGAAGGACAUGAUGAGACCUUUGCUGAAGAAUGUAUAGUUUGACAUCCUAAAACACAUCUGGCAGUGAACAAUAAAUAUGCCCAAAUACAUGAUUGAAUAUUACAAAUGAAUGCAAAUAGGUGAAAUCUGAAUCUUAUAUGAUUUGGAAGGGCGUGUAAAUCCAUGAUGCUGGGAGUUAGAUUACAUCAUCCGGAGCAGCGCUGUGGUGCAGCUGGUGGAGUUGCUGCCUAACAGCGCCAGGGACCCGGGUUCGAACCUGACCUCAGCUGCUGUCAUGUGGAGUUUGCACAUUCUCUCCGUGACUGCAUGGGUUUCCUCCCACAUCCCAAAGCCGAAUGUGUUUCUAGGUGAAUUGGCCUCCGUAAAUUGCCCUUGAUGUAUAGGGAGUGGAUGGGAAAACGGGAUAACAUAGAACUAGUGUGAUCGAUGGUCAGUGUGGACUCAGUGGGCCGAAGGGCCUGUUUCCAUGCUGCAUCUCCAAAAUAAUAUAUUUUUUAAAUCAGACGCGGAAUUUUUGAUUGGUUGGCAUGUGCUAUGUAAUCAUUUCCAGAUCAAUGGAUUAUGUGAGCCACUCUCUCUCCCUCUAUAACUUUUGUUUCUUCUCUGAAGCCCUGGAAAAAAGCAUCAAUAUUUCGUUCCUGUGCUUCCCCCUCAUCACUCACUGUUAAAACCCUUUUAAUUGAUUUCUGACUCACCAGUUGCAUUUAC
Molecule: long non-coding RNA, 2595 nt
Organism: Leucoraja erinaceus (little skate)
Lineage: Eukaryota; Metazoa; Chordata; Chondrichthyes; Rajiformes; Rajidae
Exons: 3
Source: RefSeq, a predicted model, not a curated record